ACGUGAUCUGAGUUCAGACCGGAGCAAUCCAGGUCAGUUUCUAUCUAUAAAGGGCUUUUUCUAGUACGAAAGGACCGAAAAAGCAUGGCCAAUGACCAAUUAAGCCAUAUAAAUAACUUAUGAUACCAACUCAAUUGUUUAUUAACCUCUAACUAUGCUCAAGAAAAGAGUA
This 172-nucleotide ribosomal RNA is filed under the name Boana rosenbergi (Rosenberg's treefrog). RNAcentral's name for it is "partial 16S ribosomal RNA". The record is from RNAcentral. Lineage: Eukaryota; Metazoa; Chordata; Amphibia; Anura; Hylidae.